RNAcentral lists this ribosomal RNA (771 nucleotides) under uncultured archaeon. RNAcentral's name for it is "bacterial SSU rRNA". It matches the Rfam family "Archaeal small subunit ribosomal RNA", at positions 21 to 771 of the family's 1478-position model. The record is from RNAcentral.
AAACCACCGCUACGGGGUAGGAUAGCCAUGGGAGUUUAACUCCCGGGUAAGGGAGUGUGGCGGACGGCUGAGUAACACGUGGCUAACCUACCCUCGGGACGGGGAUAACCCCGGGAAACUGGGGAUAAUCCCCGAUAGGGAAGGAGUCCUGGAAUGGUUCCUUCCCUAAAGGGCUGUAGGCUAUUUCCCGUUUGUAGCCGCCCGAGGAUGGGGCUACGGCCCAUCAGGCUGUCGGUGGGGUAAAGGCCCACCGGACCUAUAACGGGUAGGGGCCGUGGAAGCGGGAGCCUCCAGUUGGGCACUGAGACAAGGGCCCAGGCCCUACGGGGCGCACCAGGCGCGAAACGUCCCCAAUGCGCGAAAGCGUGAGGGCGCUACCCCGAGUGCCUCCGCAAGGAGGCUUUUCCCCGCUCUAAAAAGGCGGGGGAAUAAGCGGGGGGCAAGUCUGGUGUCAGCCGCCGCGGUAAUACAGCUCCGCGAGUGGUCGGGGUGAUUACUGGGCCUAAAGCGCCUGUAGCCGGCCCACCAAGUCGCCCCUUAAAGUCCCGGCUCAACCGGGGAACUGGGGGCGAUACUUGGUGGGCUAGGGGGCGGGAGAGGCCGGGGGGGUACUCCCGGAGUAGGGGCGAAAUCCUUUAGAUACCGGGAAGACACCAGUUGCCGGAAGCCCCCCCGCUAAAACCCGCCCNACGGUUNANAAGNCAAAAGCCGGAACAACAAACGGGAAUUAAUUACCCCGGUANUUCCCGGCUUUUAACAAUCCGGCCCAGU